RNAcentral lists this long non-coding RNA (945 nucleotides) under Prunus dulcis (almond). Its description in RNAcentral is "sRNA ncRNA". Lineage: Eukaryota; Viridiplantae; Streptophyta; Magnoliopsida; Rosales; Rosaceae. The record is from RNAcentral.
CAACCACAUUCACACGCGCCUCUCUCUCUCUCUCUCUCUCUCUCUCUCUCCUUCCUCUUUAAUCUCAAAUAUUUAUUAAGGUCUAAUAAGAACUCUUUUCAGUUUAUCACAGAAUGUUUAGGCACAGAUGGAAGAAAUAUUUGGUAAAACAUUUCUUCAACUCACCUUGGACAACUAAGGAAAUUGUUGCAGCUGCUAUUUUCCUUAUGCUCACUUUCGUACAGACGGUGUGCUCUAUUAUCUCUGCUGCGCAACAAUAGUAAGUUUCUCCUUGGCCUUUUCCUCCCCAUAUCCUUAUCCCUUUGUUCAUUCACAUCACAUGUGCUGGUUUUCUACCGGCUUAGAGGUAGCGUCUAGUCUUUGAGAGAGGUGUAAGUUUGGUUUAAUUUGCAAACUGUGAUUAGUCGUCUAUAGUACAGAAGAAGGCUUAGGUUUCCUUCAACUGAGUGUAAGAGAGAUUUGAAGUUUGAAAAAAAAAUUAUGUAGAAGAGUAUUGGCAUACUCUUACACUUAAUUUCCUUUACUAAUUGGAAUUUACAAGGUUAAUUAGUAUGAUAGGAAGCUGAUUUAAAUUAGGAAUUUCAGAUAAUUAAUUGAGUGAGAAGCCAUUCUCUUCUGAUAAUCGGUUUCUUAUUCGUUCACCAGAUUCUAGCAGGAAGCUAAUUUGGGGUCUCAUCAAAGAAGGGAUACUAGGAAAGCCUGUGAAUACUUAUCUAACAAAUAAAGCUGUGUAGGUCUACCAACUAAGAAGUUGCUUUGCCCUGAUCUCUCUGCAUUUCCAUAUGAAAAGCAUGAUUUGAAGAAGUGCCCCUGCUAGCUAGGCCCAUUGCCAAGCUCCUGAAAUGAACUGAAAUACGUAAAUCCAUCAAAGUCUUUCAUUCUUUCAAGUGUUCAUAUUUAACGAAUUCAAACUGUAUGUAUCAAACUGUACGUUUUCUUGCCAAG